GAUGAACGCUGGCGGCGUGCUUAACACAUGCAAGUCGAACGGUGAAGCAGAGCUUGCUCUGUGGAUCAGUGGCGAACGGGUGAGUAACACGUGAGCAACCUGCCCCUGACUCUGGGAUAAGCGCUGGAAACGGCGUCUAAUACUGGAUAUGAGCUGCGACCGCAUGGUCAGCAGUUGGAAAGAUUUUUCGGUCUGGGAUGGGCUCACGGCCUAUCAGCUUGUUGGUGAGGUAAUGGCUCACCAAGGCGUCGACGGGUAGCCGGCCUGAGAGGGUGACCGGCCACACUGGGACUGAGACACGGCCCAGACUCCUACGGGAGGCAGCAGUGGGGAAUAUUGCACAAUGGGCGAAAGCCUGAUGCAGCAACGCCGCGUGAGGGAUGACGGCCUUCGGGUUGUAAACCUCUUUUAGCAGGGAAGAAGCGAAAGUGACGGUACCUGCAGAAAAAGCGCCGGCUAACUACAUG
Molecule: ribosomal RNA, 467 nt
Filed under: uncultured bacterium
Lineage: Bacteria
Description: partial 16S ribosomal RNA
Rfam family: Bacterial small subunit ribosomal RNA
Source: RNAcentral